GAGAGAAAAGCAGAGAGCAAAGAGCGGUGCGACUGCACUCCUCCGCACUCCAAGGACAAGAGAGAGCAGGAAGAGAGCAGUCUUUUUCUAACUGUGUUGCAGGUCUGCCAAGCCCCUCUGUGACAGCAUGUAUCUGCCACACCCGCACUUCAUCCAUACAGCUCAGCUUGUCCAUGUGCGAAGACGCCUUGCAGGUUUGAAUUGUAAUGUCACAUAGUACAAAAUAUUGUGUAUACAUGUCACUGCUAAGUUUAGACCUCACAGCCCCAGUCACUUGGUCAGAGGAAGGAUGGCAACUUCUCCACUAGGCACAAAAAUGAAGAAGAUGACACGCUCAAAACCAAGAAGACCAAUGGGCAGCUGUCAUGAGGACUCAAGCCACCGGAGCGCUGAGCAUCUAAAUAGGACAUGAAGACACAGGGCACGACAGCCGAGGAGACUGAAGAUGGCCAGGGAGAACAACGCCGGCUCUACUGAGGAAACAGAACAGCAACAAAUGAAGAUGUUCAGAGUCUAGAUGCCGCAGAAGACUCAAGAAGAAGACAAGCAAGGAGAGCAACAAGAGCUCCAGUGAGGACUUUGUAAUUUUGUGGCACAGAGUUCAGUUGGUCCUGUGCAUGGUCAUAGUAAGUUGCCGUUGUUCAGUCCCCAGUUAGGCUUAAGAGCGGGUUCCCUUUGGAACUCGUUUGGGGGGGGGGUGUUAGUGUGGUGCGAACGUGGUUAGAGCAGUUGUCUCGGGAGCACAUCCGAAGCUGCAGGUGGGUCGCCAUUUUAUGGUUGCUUUACCGGGCUAUCGGGCUACAGUGCAUAAGUACCCGCCACAAGUAGCGCCUGAAGACUAGGGAACAGCUUAGUUAGAUUCUGGUUAGGCAGUUAGGAGGACAGGGCUUCAGUGAUAUUUUGGCUGUGCAUUUGGGCUGAUUGAGCAUGUUUUGGUGUCACUAAGAGAACUUAGAUUUGUGUCUUGUUAAUCUUUGUGUUGCUCUUCUACUGUAAAUAAAUUUUAUUCCUCACUAAACAUUUGGUGUUUCAGCAGCCAUUAUUUCUUUUAUUUACUUUUUCUUGGAUCCAUUUUGUAG
Long non-coding RNA from Myripristis murdjan (pinecone soldierfish), 1079 nucleotides. RefSeq lists it as uncharacterized. The transcript is spliced from 3 exons. NCBI's taxonomy places the organism in Eukaryota, Metazoa, Chordata, Actinopteri, Holocentriformes, Holocentridae. The record is from RefSeq and is a predicted model, not a curated record.